CAGAGGGUGCAAGCGUUGUUCGGAAUCACUGGGCGUAAAGCGCGCGCAGGCGGAUGGUUGCGUCCGGAGUGAAAUUUCGCCGCUCAACGGCGAAGCUGCUUUGGAUACGGGCCGUCUAGGGACCGGUAGAGGCUGGUAGAAUUGCAGGUGUAGCGGUGGAAUGCGUAGAGAUCUGCAAGAAUACCCGUGGCGAAGGCGGCCAGCUGGGCCGGAUCCGACGCUGAGGCGCGAAAGCGUGGGGAGCAAACAGGAUUAGAUACCCUGGUAGUCCACGCCGUAAACGAUGGGCACUAGGUGCCGGGGGGAGCGACCCCCUCGGUGCCGCAGCUAACGCGAUAAGUGCCCCGCCUGGGGAGUACGGCCGCAAGGCUG
RNAcentral lists this ribosomal RNA (372 nucleotides) under uncultured organism. Its description in RNAcentral is "bacterial SSU rRNA". It matches the Rfam family "Bacterial small subunit ribosomal RNA", at positions 526 to 896 of the family's 1533-position model. The record is from RNAcentral.